This 1241-nucleotide long non-coding RNA is filed under the name Ananas comosus (pineapple). RNAcentral's name for it is "long non-coding RNA (ACOM_LNC011976)". Lineage: Eukaryota; Viridiplantae; Streptophyta; Magnoliopsida; Poales; Bromeliaceae. The record is from RNAcentral.
AGAAUCUAAAUUUCUUCAAAUUUUGAUAGAAAAUACUUUAAACUAUAUAGAUUAAGGUUAACAUUCUUGAUCUUGAAUUUAAAAGUCCUAUACUCAAAUUUUAAAAAUUAUUCAAUUUUCACCGCCCAUUUUGAUAUAAUUUAUUUACUAAGUAAACGAUAUCGAAAAAAACUAAAAUUUUAUUCCUAAGACAUUCAUAUACCCUAGAUCAUAUUUAACGGUGUGGAUCGUUGAUUUGAACGCCCUAUGAUCGAAAACAAACACUAUAGUACCGGAGCUCAGUACUAUAGAUAGUAUAGUAGCCUAAUUCUAACAAACACUAUAGUCCAGCUGCUAUACUAUCGGUAACACGGAGGAUUCCGUGCUACAAAGUUCUUUUCGAUGAUGCGGCUUUCAAAUCGACGAUCGGCUCCGUUAGACAUGAUCUACACUAUUGAACGUAUUUGGAAACUAAAUUUCAGAAUUUUUCGACAUCAUUUGGCUAGUGAUCAAAAGGUCUCAAAAUUGACAAUUUUAAUGGUAGAUGUGAUGCAUUUGUAAAUUUAACGGUGUAAAACAAUCCAAAUCAGAUGAAAUUUUUAUAGAAAAUUUUUUUUACUAUUUAGAGUAAGAUCAGUAUCUCUGAUCUUAAAUUCAAGUCUUCUAUCAUCAUUUUUUAUGAGAUUUUUAUUUUCAGCCGUUUAUUUUUAGACUACUCGUUUGAUAGGUAAAUGAUGCCAAAAAAUUAUAAAAUUUAGUUUCCAAAUACUUUCAAUAGUGUAGAUCAAGUCUAACGGAACCGAUCGUCGAUUUGAAAGUGGUAUCAUUGAAAACAACUUGGUAGCACGGAGGUGUCCGUGCUACCGAUAGUAUAGCAGUCUAACUAAAUUUCAGAAUUUUUCGACAUCAUUUGGCUAGUGAUCAAAAGGUCUCAAAAUUGACAAUUUUAAUGGUAGAUGUGAUGCAUUUGUAAAUUUAACGGUGUAAAACAAUCCAAAUCAGAUGAAAUUUUUAUAGAAAAUUCUUUUCACCAUUUAUAGUAAAAUCAGUAUCUCUGAUCUUAAAUUCAAGUCUUCUAUCAUCAUUUUUUAUGAGAUUUUUAUUUUCAGCCGUUUAUUUUUAGACUACUCGUUUGAUAGGUAAAUGAUGCCAAAAAAUUAUAAAAUUUAGUUUCCAAAUACUUUCAAUAGUGUAGAUCAAGUCUAACGGAACCGAUCGUCGAUUUGAAAGUGGCAUCAUUGAAAACAACUUGGUAGCACGGA